This 676-nucleotide ribosomal RNA is filed under the name Shigella flexneri. RNAcentral's name for it is "bacterial SSU rRNA". It matches the Rfam family "Bacterial small subunit ribosomal RNA", at positions 1 to 666 of the family's 1533-position model. Lineage: Bacteria; Pseudomonadati; Pseudomonadota; Gammaproteobacteria; Enterobacterales; Enterobacteriaceae. The record is from RNAcentral.
AAAUUGAAGAGUUUGAUCAUGGCUCAGAUUGAACGCUGGCGGCAGGCCUAACACAUGCAAGUCGAACGGUAACAGGAAACAGCUUGCUGUUUCGCUGACGAGUGGCGGACGGGUGAGUAAUAUCUGGGAAACUGCCCGAUGGAGGGGGAUAACUACUGGAAACGGUAGCUAAUACCGCAUAACGUCGCAAGACCAAAGAGGGGGACCUUCGGGCCUCUUGCUAUCGGAUGUGCCCAGAUGGGAUUAGCUAGUAGGUGGGGUAACGGCUCACCUAGGCGACGAUCCCUAGCUGGUCUGAGAGGAUGACCAGCCACACUGGAACUGAGACACGGUCCAGACUCCUACGGGAGGCAGCAGUGGGGAAUAUUGCACAAUGGGCGCAAGCCUGAUGCAGCCAUGCCGCGUGUAUGAAGAAGGCCUUCGGGUUGUAAAGUACUUUCAGCGGGGAGGAAGGGAGUAAAGUUAAUACCUUUGCUCAUUGACGUUACCCGCAGAAGAAGCACCGGCUAACUCCGUGCCAGCAGCCGCGGUAAUACGGAGGGUGCAAGCGUUAAUCGGAAUUACUGGGCGUAAAGCGCACGCAGGCGGUUUGUUAAGUCAGAUGUGAAAUCCCCGGGCUCAACCUGGGAACUGCAUCUGAUACUGGCAAGCUUGAGUCUCGUAGAGGGGGGUAGAA